AGUGAACGCUGGCGGUAGGCCUAACACAUGCAAGUCGAACGGCAGCACAGUAAGAGCUUGCUCUUACGGGUGGCGAGUGGCGGACGGGUGAGGAAUACAUCGGAAUCUACUUUUUCGUGGGGGAUAACGUAGGGAAACUUACGCUAAUACCGCAUACGACCUACGGGAGAAAGCAGGGGAUCUUCGGACCUUGCGCGAUCGAAUGAGCCGAUGUCGGAUUAGCUAGUUGGCGGGGUAAAGGCCCACCAAGGCGACGAUCCGUAGCUGGUCUGAGAGGAUGAUCAGCCACACUGGAACUGAGACACGGUCCAGACUCCUACGGGAGGCAGCAGUGGGGAAUAUUGGACAAUGGGCGCAAGCCUGAUCCAGCCAUACCGCGUGGGUGAAGAAGGCCUUCGGGUUGUAAAGCCCUUUUGUUGGGAAAGAAAAGCAGCAGGUUAAUACCCCGCUGUUCUGACGGUACCCAAAGAAUAAGCACCGGCUAACUUCGUG
Molecule: ribosomal RNA, 492 nt
Filed under: uncultured bacterium
Lineage: Bacteria
Description: partial 16S ribosomal RNA
Rfam family: Bacterial small subunit ribosomal RNA
Source: RNAcentral